RNAcentral lists this ribosomal RNA (254 nucleotides) under uncultured bacterium. RNAcentral describes it as "partial 16S ribosomal RNA". It matches the Rfam family "Bacterial small subunit ribosomal RNA", at positions 524 to 776 of the family's 1533-position model. The record is from RNAcentral.
UACGAAGGGGGCUAGCGUUGUUCGGAAUCACUGGGCGUAAAGCGCACGCAGGCGGAUCGUUAAGUCAGGGGUGAAAUCCCGAGGCUCAACCUCGGAACUGCCUUUGAUACUGGCGAUCUUCGAGUCCGGGAGAGGUGAGUGGAACUCCGAGUGUAGAGGUGAAAUUCGUAGAUAUUCGGAAGAACACCAGUGGCGAAGGCGGCUCACUGGCCCGGUACUGACGCUCAAGUGCGAAAGCGUGGGGAGCAAACAGG